This 315-nucleotide ribosomal RNA is filed under the name Triticum aestivum (bread wheat). RNAcentral describes it as "partial small subunit ribosomal RNA". The record is from RNAcentral. Lineage: Eukaryota; Viridiplantae; Streptophyta; Magnoliopsida; Poales; Poaceae.
AUGAGGUUGCUCUCCAUGGAGGGUGAUGAUGCCUCUAACAAGAGACUGAAGAAGGUCUCCAUUGUUGGAUUUGGAGGGUUGGGCAAGACCACUCUUGCUAGAGCAGUAUACGACAAGAUUAAAGGUGAUUUCGAUUGUCAGGCAUUUGUUCCGGUCGGUCAGAACUCUGACAUGAAGAAGGUUUUAAGGGAUAUCCUCAUUGAUCUCGGCAACCCUCACUUAGAUCUUGCGAUGCUGGAUGCCAAUCAACUUAUUAAAAAGCUUCAUGAAUUCCUAGAGAACAAAAGGUAUCUUGUCAUAAUUGAUGAUAUAUGA